Molecule: transfer RNA, 89 nt
Filed under: Thermoleophilaceae bacterium
Lineage: Bacteria; Bacillati; Actinomycetota; Thermoleophilia; Thermoleophilales; Thermoleophilaceae
Description: tRNA-Ser
Rfam family: tRNA
About the family: Transfer RNA (tRNA) molecules are approximately 80 nucleotides in length. Their secondary structure includes four short double-helical elements and three loops (D, anti-codon, and T loops).
Source: RNAcentral
GGAGGGGUGGCAGAGCGGUUGAAUGCGACGGUCUUGAAAACCGUUAGCCGUCGAUAGGCGGCUCGAGGGUUCGAAUCCCUCCCCCUCCG